AAGAUGAAGGCGAUGAACCGGUUCUUCGAGGACGGCGACAAGGUCAAGGUCACGCUGAAGUUCCGCGGCCGCGAAAUGGCCCACCAGGAACUGGGCAUGAAGCUUCUGCUCCAGGUCAAGGAUGAUACCCAGGCGAUCGCCAAGGUGGAGGCCGAGCCGAAGCUCGAAGGCCGCCAGAUGAUGAUGGUUCUGGCGCCGCGCUAAGCCGCCGCUGCCGUCAGUCGUAAGACCAAAUUGAAAAAGCCGCCUUCCGGGCGGCUUUUUUCUUCGAGGCCGGCGGCGGCCGCUGCAGA
RNAcentral lists this unclassified non-coding RNA (293 nucleotides) under Sinorhizobium sp. NFACC03. RNAcentral's name for it is "Long range pseudoknot". Lineage: Bacteria; Pseudomonadati; Pseudomonadota; Alphaproteobacteria; Hyphomicrobiales; Rhizobiaceae. The record is from RNAcentral.